CUAGUAGCUGGUUCCCUCCGAAGUUUCCCUCAGGAUAGCUGGUGCAUUUUAAAAUUAUAUAAAAUAAUCUUAUCUGGUAAAGCGAAUGAUUAGAGGCCUUAGGGUCGAAACGACCUUAACCUAUUCUCAAACUUUAAAUGGGUAAGAACCUAACCUUUCUUGAUAUGAAGGUUCAGGUUAUGAUAUAAUGUGCCCAGUGGGCCACUUUUGGUAAGCAGAACUGGCGCUGUGGGAUGAACCAAACGUAAUGUUACGGUGCCUAAAUUUACAACUCAUGCAGAUACCAUGAAAGGCGUUGGUUGCUUAAAACAGCAGGACGGUGGACAUGGAAGUCGUAAUCCGCUAAGGAGUGUGUAACAACUCACCUGCCGAAGCAACUAGCCCUUAAAAUGGAUGGCGCUUAAGUUGUAUACCUAUACAUUACCGCUAAAGUACAUGAUUUAUAAUACAAUUUCGGUUGUUUUUAUAAAAUUUUGAAACUUUAGUGAGUAGGAGGGUACAAUGGUGUGCUUAGAAGUGUUUGGCGUAAGCCUGCAUGGAGCCGCCAUUGGUACAGAUCUUGGUGGUAGUAGCAAAUAAUCGAAUGAGACCUUGGAGGACUGAAGUGGAGAAGGGUUUCGUGUGAACAGUGGUUGAUCACGAGUUAGUCGGUCCUAAGUUCAAGGCGAAAGCCGAAAAUUUUCAAGUUUUAAUGAA
RNAcentral lists this ribosomal RNA (696 nucleotides) under Rhagoletis pomonella (apple maggot). RNAcentral describes it as "partial 28S ribosomal RNA". It matches the Rfam family "Eukaryotic large subunit ribosomal RNA", at positions 944 to 1589 of the family's 3401-position model. Lineage: Eukaryota; Metazoa; Arthropoda; Insecta; Diptera; Tephritidae. The record is from RNAcentral.